GGCAACGUGGCGGAGUGGUUAUCGCGCUAGCCUAGAAUACAAUUAUUCUUAAGCUAGUUCCUUCGGGAGCGUCAGUUCGAAUCUGGCCGUUGUCG
This 95-nucleotide transfer RNA is filed under the name Blumeria graminis f. sp. tritici. It matches the Rfam family "tRNA". Rfam says of the family: Transfer RNA (tRNA) molecules are approximately 80 nucleotides in length. RNAcentral also lists the same sequence under 1 other name. The record is from Rfam by way of RNAcentral. Lineage: Eukaryota; Fungi; Ascomycota; Leotiomycetes; Helotiales; Erysiphaceae.